UACGGAGGGGGCUAGCGUUGUUCGGAAUUACUGGGCGUAAAGCGCGCGUAGGCGGACCUGCAAGUCGGGGGUGAAAGCCCGGGGCUCAACCUCGGAACUGCCUUCGAUACUGCGGGUCUCGAGUCCGGGAGAGGUGAGUGGAAUUCCUAGUGUAGAGGUGAAAUGCGUAGAUAUCGGAAGGAACAUCAGUGGCGAAGGCGACUUCCUGGACCAAUACUGACGCUCAGGUGCGAAAGCGUGGGGAGCAAACAGG
Molecule: ribosomal RNA, 253 nt
Filed under: uncultured bacterium
Lineage: Bacteria
Description: partial 16S ribosomal RNA
Rfam family: Bacterial small subunit ribosomal RNA
Source: RNAcentral